CUCUCUUUGAUCAUUUCCAGAGGGAGCUUCGGGAGGUUCUCCAGGACCUUCAGAAUAAGUCCUUGCUCCAAGACUGGUGCCAACCGCAGUCUUGGAAGCAACUUAAAACUCUCGCCAAUUCAGUAUUGCAACAGAAAUGCAGAGUGAGUCUAAAUGGAAGCAGAUGGGAGAAUUAGCUAUGUCUAAUGGAAGGUUAGAUAUGGCUGAGGAUUGUUUGAAUCAUGUGAUGAAUUUGAGC
Arachis stenosperma is the source of this 238-nucleotide long non-coding RNA. RefSeq lists it as uncharacterized. The record is from RefSeq and is a predicted model, not a curated record. The transcript is spliced from 3 exons. NCBI's taxonomy places the organism in Eukaryota, Viridiplantae, Streptophyta, Magnoliopsida, Fabales, Fabaceae.